This is a long non-coding RNA of Ictalurus punctatus (channel catfish), 12702 nucleotides long. Lineage: Eukaryota; Metazoa; Chordata; Actinopteri; Siluriformes; Ictaluridae. The record is from Ensembl.
CGCUCUCGCUCUCGCUCGCUCUCUGAUUGUUUACUGCACAUUGUUUGAAAAGUUCCCAAAAAAGGACUUGGUGCUCUAUGGCUUCUACGUUACAUCAACCACAUGGUUGGUUACAUCAACAACACGUCCUGAAUAAAGUGAUCUCAUCAACAACACCACUUUUGCUGAAAUGGCACAAGAGGUUAAGCAUGAUAUUGUGGGACAUGAAGCAUAAGAAAGGCAACAGAGUCACACACAGCCGCCUCACUAACGCCAACAACCCGUCCCCUCCUCGCAAGGCCCGCUGUCGCCAUGGAAACACAGUCCAAUCGGAGCCUCGGGAAUGCAGGGAGGGGGCGGGGACAGUGCUGAGCCCUCUAACAUUUCACACACACACAUAUACACACACAGCAGCACACAUGCACACACUGAUAUUCACACACACACGCAUAGUCAGCUCUCUCAAUCUCUCACGCAGAGACAAACAAAUACAUACAAGCUCUGUACGUCCUAUCCAUAUAAACACACAAACACACACACACAUAGACUACAAAAUAUACAUUGGCAGGUAUGUAUAGAGAUUUUGGAGAAAUCAUAAAGGGCAAAAAGUCUUUGAAAUUUCAGGCUUCAGUGUAGUUCAGAGAAAAAUCUUAAGCAGUCUACAAAAAAAAGACUUUAAAGACUCAAACCAUCACAAGGCGAAGGAAAGGAAAAAAUGUGGUCUGUUCUAUAACAUGAAGAUUCUGAUAAAACAAGAAGAGACAGACCAAACCCAAGGCUUGUCCUUAUCCACUCCCUAUCGCAUGUCUGCUUUUCCCCAUUCAACAGCAUACAGUGUUUUUGGGGCCCAUUAAUCUUGAUCACUCCCUUUCAUUUCCCUCUCAGAUCUAGGACACUUCCCUCAGCCAUGGUAAUCAACAGGACUAGAGUUGCCUUUUUUCCAUUAUUUUCCCAGGGUAUAUUAUGUUUCUUGUCCAUAAUCUGUUUUGUUUGUACCAAACAAGACAAUAUGGUGCAAAGCUUUAGCAUGCAAUAUGUUACCAGGAUGAACAGGUGGUAAAUCUAGUCGUAGAGAUUUCAUUUCCACUAUGCCACUUUCUUCAUUUAAAAAUAUUACCAAUGUAUGAAUAAAAUAUGACUGUCGUGGUUACGCCAAAAUGGGCACAUGACUAUGUUUGCCAUCAGCCACUGCACCUCACCGGAUCACGUCACAUGAUUGUUUGCACCUGUGUCAUGUUUGGUUAAUGAGAACUAUGAGUAUUUAAGUCACGUCUUGCACCUCACUCAAUGUUGAGCUUUUAUCUUUCAUUGUCGCUGUCAUGUUAUGUUCUCUAGUCCAUGUAUGUCUUCCUGCCUCGAAAUUCUAGUUAAUAUCUUUUAUGUUUAAGUUUAUGUUGUCUGCAUUGUUUGUGUUUCAUUACUCCUCUACAAAUACCUGACAUUGACCUGCUGUGGUGUUAUAGGAGAAUAAUCCACGAUGGGGUGGUGUGAUGUGAAUGUGAGAGUUUACCACCCCAGGGGUCAUUAUUUUCUCUAACGGCUUGUCUCAAAGUGAUUUUAUAACUUUUUGUAACACUUACAUGUCUCAAAGUGUUUUAAGUGUCCUUAUACCACAGCAACAUGCUAGCAAAUACAAUUUUGUAUUUAUUAAAAAAUGACAUAUUUAAAUAGAUCAAUCCAUUUUCUAAACCACUUAUCCUAUACAGGGUUGCAGGGAGACCAAAGGCUAUCACAGGACAUGGGGAACACGGCAGGGGACACCUUGGACGGGGUGCCAACCAUCGCAGGGCACAAUCAUACACAAUAUGGAAAUGACAAUCAGCCUAUAUCACGUCUUUGGACCGAGGGAGGAGUCCAGAGUACCCGGAAGAAACCCCUAAAGCACGGCGAGAACAUGGUUAUGGGGAGCCUGGAGUCUAUCCCAGGGGACCGGGGCACAAGGCGGGGGACACCCUGGACAGGGUACCAACCCAUAGCUGGGCACAAUCGCACACACAUUCACACACUAUGGACAAUUUGGAAAUGCCAUUCAGUCUACAAUGCAUGUCUUUGGACUGGGGACUGGAGGAGGAAACCAGAGUACCUGGAGGGAGCUCCAAAAAGCAUGGGGAGAACACGCAAACUCUGCACACACAGGGUGGAGACUGGAUUCCAACCCCAAACCAGGUUUAACAUGGUUUUGCGCACAAAGCAUCCACACAUCUUCCCACAUCUGGCACUGAAGAUGUUGUCCAAGUAAACAGAUGAUAUUAUAAGACCUCCUACCAUAAGAAGAGAAGGUCACAAUGACUCUCCAAGGAUCCUGAGUUCGAGUUACUAUCUCCAGGUUCUCUGGUUUCUUAGCAUUCCACAAAAACAUGCCAGUAGGUGGAAUGUCAAUACUUAAUAGCCCUUGGGUGUGAACGAGUGUGUGAAUGUAUGUGCAUGGUGCCCUGCACUGGACUGGCAUCCCAACCAAAAGGCUCAGGAUCCACCAGCACCGUUACCAGGAUAAAGUGCUUGCUGGAGAGAACCUUGAAACAGAGGGAACCUUAACCAAAUGUUCUUAAGACAUCCUUCCUGCUUUAAUUCUGUGUAUUCUCUAAACAAAGGUGUUCAAAUCAAUACUCGUUGUGUAUCUACACGUUUGUAGACACAAAUAUCAGUGUGUUCAAUUUUUGUAAAAACAAAAAAUGUAUUAUAAUUACAAUGGUUGUGUCCAGUAUGUGCUCUUUGGACUAAACAUGCUAAAAAAUAAAAACGACAAACUCAAUUCAUACACUCGCCAGACAAUUUAUUAGGAACACAUGUACACUUGCUCAUUCAUGCAACUAUCUAAUAAGCCAAUCACAUUGCAGCAAAGCAGUGCAUAAGAUCAUGAAGAUACAGGUCAAGAUCUUCAGUAAAUGUUCACAUCUGACAUCACAGUUGGGUAAAAUGUGAUCUUGCAGGUGCAGAUGGGCCGGUUUGAGUAUUUCUGAAGCAGCUGAUCUCCUGGGAUUUUCAAGCACAACAGCCUCUACAGUUUACACAGAGAAAACAUCCAUUGAGUUGCAGUUCAGAGGGUGGAAAUGCCUUGUUGAUGAGAGAGGUGAAGAAUGGUACCACUCAUUUAAACUGACAGGAAGGCUACAAAAUAACUUGCUACUCAAAUAAUCACUCUUUACAGCUGUGCUGAGCAGAAAAGCAUCUCAGAAUUCACAAUACACAGAACCUUGCGGUGGGUGCGUUACAACAGCAGAAGACUAGACAGGGUUCUAGUUCUCAGCCGAGAACAGGUAUCUGAGGCUACAGUGAGCACAGGUUCACUGAAACUGAACAGCUGAAGACUGGGGGGGAAAAUCAUUGCCAUUGAUUUUGAACUGUCAAUGCCUUUUGUCAAAUUCUGCUCUAAUAGUUAAACCCGAGCUGCAGGGAUUCCAAGGCCUCACUUAGUCAACUUUACUUUAGCCUAUAAAGUAAUGGAACUGCCCUUAAUAUGGUGAUUGUGAUUCUCUCAAGGGGAAAUGGUGGGGAAAGUCAGUGAGUGGUGCUGGUGAUGUGAUUAUUUAAAAAAAAAAAACUGUGAGCAAGCGUUACAAUUUCUGAUCAAAAUUCAAUCGAUAUUCACUUCUCACUCCUUCACUUCUUGCCUUGUCUGGGGUUAAAUUAUGACCAUAUUCCUAAGUGUGUUUCUGUAAGCGUAUGUGUGUGUAAGUGGAGAGAUUUACAUGUGGUUGGGACGGUAACCAUAUUUUAACACUUCCACAACCACGCAGGCAUUAAAUCAGGUUUGCUGCUGCAUCUCCCCUCAUCUCAGAGCUGUAAAAUGGAUUAAUGAGACCUGCCCCCUCUUAAAAUUUCUCUCUCUCUCUCUCUCUCUCUCGCUCUCUCUCUCUCUCACACACACACACACACACACACACACACACACACACAUGCACACAUUACUGAGGGAGCUUCUUCAUUUCCAACUUCUUACAUGCUGAAUUGCCGGCUUUCAUACUAUUGUUUUCUUUUUUAAAUAAUGUAAGAGAUAGUUAUUUGCAAAAAUACAAAUGUCUAUGGAAUGUUCUGUCUUAGCCCAUUUGUUUUUAGCCAUUGGCUAAGUGUAUCCCAAACACUAGUGUUUGACAGAAGACAUAGAUGUGUUUAGGAAUAGUGCAUAGCAUAUACACCAAUCAGCCAUAACAUUGACAGGUGAAGUGAAUAACUUUGAUUAUCUUGUUACAGUGGUACCUGUCAAGGGGUGAGAUAUAUUAGGCAGUAAGUCAACAGUCAGUUCUUGAGUUUGAUGUGUUGAAAGCAGGAAAGCGUAAGGAUCUGAAUGACUUUGACAAAGGCCAAAUUGUGAUGGCUAGAUGACUGGAUUAGAGCAUCUCCAAAACAGCAGGUCUUGUGAGGUAUUCCCAGUAUACCGUGGUUAAUACCUACCAAAAGUGGUCUAAGGAACGAUAACUGGUAAAGCAAAGGCAGAUUUUUCUGAUCCGAUCCCACAGAAGAGCACAUAUUGCUGAAAAAGUUAAUGCUGGCUAUGAGAGAAAGGUUUCAGAACACACAGUGCACGGCAGCUUGCUGUGUAUGGGGCUGCGUAGCUGCAGACCGGUCAGAAUGCCCAUGCUGACCACCGCCUGUCCACUGAUGAAAGUGCCUACAAUGAGCCUGUGAGCAUCAGAACUGGAUCAUGGAGCAAUGGAACAAGGUGGCCUGGUAUGGUGAAUCACGUUCUUUUACAUCAUGUGGACAGCUGGGUCACUGUGUGUCACUUACCUGGGGAAGAGAUGGCACCAGGAUGCACUAUGGGAAGCCAGCGGAGGCAGUGUGAUGCUCUGGGCAAUGUUCUGAUGUGAAACCUUGGGUUCUGGCAUUCAUGUGGAUGUUACUACCUAAACACUGUUGCAGACCGAGUACACCCUUUCAUGGCAACGGUAUUCCCUAACGUCAGUAGCCUCAUUCAGCAGGAUACUGCUCCCUGCCACACUGCAAAAAUUGUUCAGGAAUGGUUUGCGGAACAUGACCCCUGAAAGGGUUCAGGGUGUUGACUCGACCUCCAAAUUCCCGAGAUCUCAAUCCGAUGGAGCGUCUGUGGGAUGUGAUGGACAAACAAGUGUGAUCCAUGGAGGUCCCACCUCACAACUUACAGGACUUGCUUAAAGGAUCUGCUGCUUACAUCUUGGUCCCAGAUUCCACAGCACACCUUCAGAGGUCUUGUGGAGUCCAUGCCUCGAUGGAUCAGAGCUUUUUUUUGGCAGCACAAGGGGGACCAACACAGUAUUAGGCAGGUGGUUUUAAUGUUAUGGCUGAUCGGUGUACAUAUUGUGCAAUAUACAUGAAUCACUAGAAAUUAUUAAUUACAAACAUGAUAUGUUCAUCAAAGCAAACUACAAUAUAAAUGAAAGGACAGUCAAGAACACCCUGCAGCUGAUCAGCUAACUAGCAUGUGAGAUAUACUUCCAUAGAAAACAACUCAGAUCACAAUGCACUCUGAGUGUAUGGGUGCUAAACACAUGUUAUAGCUUAUGUAGCUGACUUUACACAUCAUUUUAUUACAAAAUCACUUAAGUGCUAUUUAUAAACCACCUUGUGACUUGUACCAUCUUUCAGUGUUAAGAAUGUCUGCAGUGUAUUGUGGGUUCGUGAUACCGACCCUGUCCCAGAUGGUGCACGUGUGGCAUUGUGGUAUUCACAUAGGUGUAAUCUGUGUAUAAUCAGUUAUUUCUGCCAUUUAAAUCUGUCAGUACGAUCUUAUGCAAUUUGAGUUACAUGAUUCUUCGCAGGUGUCACUGAAAGGAGAGUCAUCGCAAAAGCACAGUGAACACAAGCAUAAUGAGAUGAAGGACAAAAACUCAGGACUGCAUCCCAGCCCCCUCGAUCACUCAUGCAUCAUAGAUCCAUACCUUGGCAAUGUCACCAAAGUGGGGGAUUGAAUGAGGACUUAAGGGCUGAGGUGCUAUUUAGGACAGGGCCUAUCAAGAAAUUGUUAGCAUGACUUCUUGCCAUUUGGGUGUUUGUUUAUUUAUGUUUAUUUAUUUCAGUGUUACAGUUAGUAACACUAACUACAACUCUCCAAAUCACACAAGGCCAGAAAUUGUUGUAAAUUCUAAACUAUUGGUUGGAUAUGGUAGUUCAGUGUUUGUCUGCAGUGAGCACAGAUUUUUGUUUGUUUAAGAGUUUUAAAAAUAAAAAAAGAUCUCUGUUAAGACAUUCAUAAGACAUACAAUAGAAUGAUUUUAGAAAUUGUUUGUCUUAAUAUGGGCACAAUUUCAACAUCAGUCCGUACAGGAUUUCUCAGGAUUUCUUUUUUGUUUCUUUAUUGCUGCAGCCAAAAAUGCUUGAUUUUGCUGCGACUUUCUCAAAAUUUGCGAGUUUUUUGUGGAAAACUACGUAAAUAGGCGUAAUUGUAAUCGCAUGAAAUUCCUUCGCAGUAAUGUUUGUUGGUAAAUGAGACCUUUUAGAUGUACUCAUGCUCGAUGCAUUUGAAAAAAAAGAGGGCUCUGGCUGAAUGUGUGUUGUGAUGACGUCACGUGACGUGUCUUGGCCCAAAUCUGCGGAAAAAGCUCCUCCGAAUACUGAGGAGUUUGCUUGAUUUUCCAUUAAAUCGUGCGAUCAGGAACUGCAACAUAGUUUCACAAUCACAAAUUCAUAGCAACUCAGUUUGCAUGAAACGUUAACACUUGGUUUAGGGUUUUUACAUUUCAACUUCGUUCAUGCAAAAUCAGACUUUGGGUUAGAUUAGAUUUAGGUAGACCAGUACUGACAUAAUUUUGACUAAUAAUAUGUGUAAGGCUAAUAGUGGAGACACAUGAACAUAAAUGGCGCACUUACAGUAUAUAGCGCUUUUAUCCAAAGCGCUUUAUGCUGGUUCUCAUUCACCCAUUCACACACACACUCACGGUAGCAGAGCUGCCACGCAAGGCACUAACUUGCCAUCGGGAGCAACUUGGGGUUCAGUGUCUUGCCCAAGGACGCUUUGGCAUGUGGAGUAAUGUGGCCCGGGAAUCGAACAACCAACCCUACGAUUAGUGGACAACGCGCUCUACCACCGGAGCCACAGCCACCCCAUGUAGCUGGUUAGUUGUUGAUCACUGGGUCACAUUAAUGGAAAUGAUGUGUGGUGUUCUUCACGGUGCUCUGCAAGUGUGUGUAUGAACUAAGCUCUGUGAAAAACCAACAGGUCCAAAGUUAUUUGCUCCAGACUCCAAAAUGAACAGCAUGAUUCGCUCCUCAGUUUCAAAGAUGUCUGUGUGAAAUUGAUUUCCCUGGCAUUAAAAUGAAAAAAUGUUAGUUAUUUAUGCAUUCUAAUCCUAACCCUAGGUAUUUGGGAUUUUUAAUGGCUUCAUUUUAUGUAUGUAAGCAAUGUGUUAAAUCAUAGCACAAAAGUCCCCGUUUGGCGCUUUGCUGUUUUGACAGUUGGAAACAGAAUCCCAUCACACCUCCUAGGCAGUAAUGUGUGUGUGUGUAUGUGUGUGUGUUUGUGUGUGUGUAAUGGUCAGUAGAAGACAGCAUCAUAAAUCUCUCAGUGAAGACACCUAAGACACAACUUCCCCCAAGUGUAUAAAGACACACACACACACACACACACACACACACACACACACACACAUAUAUAUAUAUAUAUAUAUAUCAUGAGGCAGUGAAAAACAAAGUAUGUUAUUUACUGGUGAAUAUAGAUCAGCACAGAUAAAUAUACAUAUAAAGAAUCAGCUAUAGUUUUACUUUAUUAGGUUCAUAGGUGCAUUUUUAAAAAUCAAUAAAAUCAAUGUACAAAGAGGGUUUAUCCUGUAUGCACAUGUGAACAGACCUCAGCUUCGAGCGAAUAAGUGUUUUGGCUGGUUUGUAUUAGUAUAUCCAAGAACGAGUCUCUGUGAAACCCUGCUCUCACAUUCCAGCUUGAUUCGGUACAGAAAGCACAUUUUAAAAAUGAUACUGUGCAAAUGUUUAUUAUAACUACAACUAUGCACACAAAACCACCAGAUUGCAAAAAGAAGACCCACUUCAAGAUUUCGCCAAGUGACACCCUGUGUCCAAAGUGUGUGUCUCUGCAUCCUCUAGGCUACAACGGACAAUAACCACUCCAGUGCAUUGUGGGAUUUCAUGCAUGUCAUACUCUAAGUUCUCAAACACCUGUACACCAGCACAUUUUGUAUUCUGACUCUGAUCAUCUUUAUCCUAUGAUGAAACAUUUCUAUCCUGAUGGGAGUGCUCUUUUCCAGGAUGAUCCGCCCCCUUCCACAGAGCACGAGGGCUGGCUUAAUGGUUCAGGUAGUAUGAAAAUGAUGUAAAAUACAUGCAGUAAUAUCACCAAAUAUCAACCCAAUUGAUCAUUAACUAAGGGAAUAUCUUUUAGAAGAGUGGUGUUCUAAACGAGACUCAUUUAUGAACUCAAUUAUUCACGGAUCCACUGAAGAGAGUACUGAACACAACUUGCACAAAUUCAUCCAUCCAUUUUCUUAUCCUACACAGGGUCGCAGGGAGCCUGGAGCCUAUCCCAGGGAACUCGUGUCACAAGGUGGGGAACAUCCUGGAUGGGGUGCCAGCCCAUCUCAGGGCACAAUUGCACACACUACGGACAAGUUAGAGAUGCCAAUCAGGCUACAACAUUUGUCUUUUGACUGAGGAAGGAAACCGGAGUACGCAGAGGAAUCCCUGAAGCAUAGGGAGAAUCCCCUAGCCCCAACCCCCAGCCUGCAGAUGGUUAAGACACAGUGGCAGAUCAAUCCAUCCAUUUUCUGUAUUACUUCUCCUACACAGGGUUGCGGGGAGCCUGGAAACUCAGGGAACUUGGGGCACGAGGCGGAGGACACCCUAGAUGGGAUGUGAUCCAAUCGCAAGGCACAAUCACACACACACACACACACACUCACACACCCAAUCAUACACUAUGGACAAUUUGGAAAUGCCCAUCAACUAACAACGCAUGUUUUUGAACUGGGGAGGAAACCCCUGAAGCACGGGGAGAACAUGCAAACGUCACACACAGGGGACAGAGACUGGAUUCGAACCCCCAACGCCAGAGAUGUGAGGCUAACCACUAAGGCCCUGUUUACACUAGUGUGUUUUCAUUUUAAAACGCAUAACAUUUGCUACGGUUUCGCCUGUCGUCUACACUACUCUGGCGUUUUCGACCCUCGAAAACGGAGACUUUUGGAAACACCGAAGACCCCGUUUUAGUUUGAAAACUCCGGGCUCGUGUUUCAGUGUAAACAGAAGAAAACAAAGACUUUUGAAAACGAAGGCGUGGCUACCCACAUUCGCCCCCUGAUUGGGUCUUCUGGAUCAUUGCGUAUCCUUCCCUGAUUUGUCAAGCCUCUACCAUAUGAACAUUACGCUACAUUGAUCACACACAACAACACGGAGACUGAAUCGCAAGCUUUUCUGGCUUUGUCGUCAUUCUAAGCAGCCAUUCUGCAGUUAAAUUCUGUAUUUUAUAAUACUGCAGCUGCCUACAUACGCAAGAGGUGAGCUAUGAUUAGAGCAAUCGGCAACAAAUCUCAUUUCAAGCGGCAUAAGCCUCACAUGGAACGCCGGUUUGUUGUGCCUGCCUAGCAACCAACUUCCUGUUUACACUUGUAUGCGCAUGCCCAGUGUGCAUGAAUGGUCAUGUGACAUGCGUUUUCGGUCGUGUAGUGUGGACGGAGAUGUUUCUGAAACGCACUAGUGUAAACAGGGGCUAAGUGGGGCUACAUGCCCCCACACACCAGCAGAUAAAAACAUGAUAAUGUUUUAAAAAGUACUGACUUAAAGGUUACCUGAUUCAAACACUGGCCCAAUGAAACAGCUGAGCAAAUCUUGGUCUUGACCAAAAGGAUUCACCGGCUCCAGGGGCAGGGUUAAGGAUAAGAUCUAGUGUACAUUUGAUUGAAAAUACAAAUCAUACAAUAUAAUUUUUUUUUUAAAGCCAUUUACAGAUAAACAUAUAUCUGAAACUUGUGUGUUUCAAUUAUGCGGUUUGCAAUGGUGAAGCCCUCAACAGCAACGGAACAAAACUAAUGACUCACAGUCACCAAUACUGAAUCAUUCACCUUAGUGACUCUUCAGAAAGACUGCGUUUGUGAAUGAAACAUGUUGAGUUCCUCCCCCCAGUUACAGUUACAGACCUGUACACUCAGACACACAGAAGCUGGUCUGACGGCUCGUAGAGGACCAACACCUCACUAAGACACGUUAUGUUGGUUUUUCCUGUAAUUUGUUCACUGUGUGUGUGUGUGUGUGUGUGUAUACCGUAUACAGUACUGUACGUAGUGUAUAACAAUUUUCAACACCAUUUGAGACAGUUACCAACCUGGGAUUCAUGUGUUUUAUUGUAUUUUAACUCUAUUUAUACUACACUUUUGAGAAAUGAAUCCAAAUGUAGAUAUUUUCCAUAAAGAAAGACAGACAGAAAGACAAAGGAAGGAAGAAAGAAAAGGGCACAGGGAAAAACACAAAGAAAGAACAAAAAAAAAAGAAAGAGGUGCAGACAGCAACUCACAUGAACACAGAUAUCUUUUAACCGAGCCUUCCGCUCAGUCUGUCGAGGAAGAACAAGGCAGUGUCUUCGCUUGUCAGUGGAUUGGGACGAGGCCUGUCUGUACCCGUCCCAGCCCCAACCCCUGCUGCACACCUGGGCCUCCGUUUCCCUUUGAGGUGGGUCCCGGACACGACCUAGCAUGCCUCGGAGAGUGUGUGUGUGUGUGUGGACAGGGAGAGAAACACACACUGGGAGGUCUGCGUGAAAAGGGAGUUCCCCCAUUCAGCCCUCACUGACACAAAUGUAAGCAUAAACAACAGAAACUGUACAGACAUGAUUUCAUUCAUACUUUAAAAAACUCCUAAGCAAUGGUGUGUAGUGGCAUCGUGAGUACAUAAGUGUGUGUGUGUGUGUGUGUGUGUGUGUGUGUGUGUGUGUGUUGCUGUUACUCUUUCCAGCCUGCGCACUGCAUCACAGUGUAAAGCGGAGCAGGAAGCAGGAAGCCCUGGCAUUGCUGUAGGACCGGUGAAUAAUUAGUGUAAGAAUUAAAACGGAGCAUCUGAGACUCAAGCUGGACCUCUAGUGUUCCUCACAAAAACAGGGCGAAAGUUUCUCCCUCUCUGCAGGCCCCUCCUGGUGGGCGUGGUAACAUCCCCCUCCUCCUGUCACACUUCAAAGAGGAGACUGAGCUCCCCCUGCAUUCAUCUGAGGCUAACAGCUUAACCACCCGCGUACAGCGUACCCACGCCCUCAGAAGACACACACAUACGCACACACACACACACACACACACACACGCACACACGUGCACACACACACACACACACACACACACACACACACACGCACACAUAUGCACACACACACGCGCGCACACACGCACACGCACAUGCAUACACACACGCACACGCAUACACACACGCACGCACACACACUUACACACACAUAUAUGAACACACAAUUACACUCACACACACAUACACACACAUAAACACACACAAACACACACAUAUUAACACACAAUUACAAACACACACACAUAACACACCCUUACUCUCACACACACACACUCACACGCACGGACACACAAGCGCACACACAUAUAAAAACCCACUUACACACACACACACACACACACAGAUAUAAACACACACUUACAAACACACACAUAUAAAUACACACUCACACACAUAAACACACACUCACACAAACACACUUACACACACACAAAAAAUCUACACACAUACACACAGAAAGUCUACACACAUAUACACACACAAAAUCUACACACACAGAGAAAAGAUACACACACAUAUAUACACACACAAAUAUACACACGUAAACACACACAGAAAAUCUACACACAUAUAUACACAUACACACACACAAAUAUACACACACACACUCGCUCACACACACAUGCACACUCAUAUACACAAACACACACAACACAAAUGCACAUGCAUACAUACACACAUAUAUGCACCCAAACACACACACACACACAGAACAUAUACACAAAAAUGCACUUGAACAAAAAAACCUCUCAUACACUCACAUGCAGAGAUACAAUGCACACCCACACAAAUGCACAUACACGUGUGCAACCAAACACACACACACACACACACACAAACAGACACAUAUAAACACACACUCACUCACACAUAAAACUAACAUACACAUGCGUGCAUAGACAUACACACAUGCCCACUCACAUACACAAACAAAACAAACACACAAAUACACAUCUUUCGUUGUACGGUCUUUUGGGUGAGACGUUAAACAGAGGUCCUGACUCUCUGUGGUUAGUAAAAAUCCCACCACACAGCUCAUAAAGGAGUAGGGGUAUAACCCUGGUGUCCUGGUGAAAUUCCCCCAUUGGCCCUUAGCUAUCAUGGCCCCUUAAUAAUCUCCAUCCCUGAACUGGCUACAUCACUCUCUCCUCUCCACUAAUAGCUGGUGUGUGGUGGGCGUUCUGGCGCACUACACUUCCGUCACAUCAUCCAGGUGGAUGCUACUCCUCCACACACACACACACACACACACACACACACACACACACACACACACACACACCAUACAAUGUAAAUCACUUUGAGUGUCUAGAAAAGUACUAUAUAAAUAUAAGGAGUUAUUAUUAUUAUUAUUAUUAUUAUUAUUUCUAUAUGCAAAUGCACCCAAACACACACAUGGCCAAAACAAUCUCUCAUACACUCGUAUGCAAUAUAAUACACAUUCACACCCAUACACACACACACACACACACACACACACACACACACACACACACCACUAACACAUACAGAACGCUA